AUUUUUUCCUCAGCAGUAUAAACCAAAAACAACGAGCCACACCUCUAACCAAAGGUCCUGAAAUUCUUUAUCCCUAAACCAAGAACUCGCAGGAAAAGCAUUCACACAUACAAAGCCACUGCUAGUCCCUAACUCGCCAGAAACAACAGUUAAACCACCUGAAAAUGACCACCAUUUCAUCGCAGGAAAAGCAUUCACACAUAUAAAGCCAUCCCUAACUCGCCAGAAACAACAGUUAAACCACCUGAAAAUGACCACCGUUUCAAGAUCCAAAGAUCGAGCUCAAAUAAGUGAGAAAUUCCGAUUACCAGCUCUGUGUCGUCCUGUUCAAGCUCGUCGAGUCCGCAUUCCAUCAGAGGUUUUUCAAUUUUCGAUGAGCUUCAAGGUCGUCAAAGUUCUCUGUCUGGGCUCCUGUUACUGUUGUUUCUUCCGGCCAAAUUACUUCAUUUGAGUUUAUUGUAACUGAGUUCUUAUUAAUAUAAUUCAGGUCAGAUUCUCACUCACGUCUUUCUUCUCAAUUUCGUAUAGUAAAUCUUGAAGACUCGGG
This 547-nucleotide long non-coding RNA is filed under the name Nicotiana benthamiana. RNAcentral describes it as "long non-coding RNA (NBEN_LNC039447)". The record is from RNAcentral. Lineage: Eukaryota; Viridiplantae; Streptophyta; Magnoliopsida; Solanales; Solanaceae.